Molecule: long non-coding RNA, 546 nt
Organism: Asparagus officinalis (garden asparagus)
Lineage: Eukaryota; Viridiplantae; Streptophyta; Magnoliopsida; Asparagales; Asparagaceae
Exons: 2
Source: RefSeq, a predicted model, not a curated record
GCGAAUGAACCCCACUCGUGACUGUGGCUAGACCUUCUAAAACUGACAUAGUUUGGGACUCUUGGUACUAUAGGAUCUAAACUUGAAUUGACCAUUUUAGAGAAAGGUUUAUCAACUAAUUAAAUGAUAUGGCUACAAAUUAUGUAGAUGAGUUUCAUGAUUUUUGUGAUGCUUCUUGAUUUACAACCUGCAGGUUUCUAGUAGCUUGAUUUUAUCAUAACUUGAUGGCACAUUAUCCAACUACAUAUGACCUUUCUGCUAUAACAAAGAAGAUAGAAAUCAAAAUUAUGAAGACAGUUCAUAACCAUUGCUUAGCUGUUGGCCUAUAACCAGACGAUUUCGGGAGAAACGUGGCUUCUAGACUUCUUUCCGAAAAUUAGGCACCAAAAAGGAAAAAACAAAAAAAGAUUUCUGUCAUAAAAUUAUUCAUAUAUGAGGAUAAGAUCAUUGAUAAAUAUUUUCUUUAAUUGUUUGACUUAUUGAUGUACCGCUGUGUAGACAACUAUUUGAGAUCAUGUAUGUAACACUUUACAUGUUUUGCGGUUC